UUUUUUUUUUUUUAAUGAAUCACAUUCUCACUAAAUUGCCACUUGUGAUCUUCCUGCCACAACCAAAGCUCUGGGAUUCCAGGUGUGUGCCACCCUGCCUGUCCUAGAGCUCCAUCUCCUACAUUUCCAAACCUUUCCUUUUUCUUCACUUCCUCUCACUUCUAGCAGUUGGAGUGGUGUACUGCUAAAUAUUUAACACUCAACUCUGGAAGAAAGAAAGAAAAACAACAACAACCCCGAUUUCUAACCUUUUCUGAUUUUUGUAAUGUAAUUACUUCUGCUAUGGAGAAGUCACUGAACAUAGAAUAGGGAAAAGAUACACAUGAUCACCUUUCAAGCCAAUAGGAGCUAGCUUCAUUGCAGUUUUAGGCCCUUUUUCCAGCACAUUCCACCAUGUUGCUUUAUUAAUGUACUUAGGUCUGCUUCAUCCUGAGCACCUUAUUCAACCUGAAGUACUGCAGUCAUCUCUUAUCCUUACCAGCUACCCCCUUUUUCGGACUAUUCUCUGAAAAGUCAUCUCUCUUCUGCUGGUUUCCAGCUCAAAAAUAUAGGGAGCAUUUUGAUCCAUUCCCUAUGGGAGUCCAGGCUAGGAGAGGACUGGCUUUGCUGGUCCCUUGGAUUUCUGGGCAUGUGGAAGCUCCACCUCUGGGCUAUUUUAAGCAUCUGUUUACCCAGAGGGGCCAAGGAAACAGAUCUCCACAGCUGUUGCUUGUGGCCAGAAAAGACUCAGGCUCCACCUUCCACCUGAAGUGCGCUCAGAGUGUGCAGAAAGCUGCCUACUUUGCCUGUUUCUCUGAGCCUUGGGUCAUGGGAAGCCUCUGACCCUCACUACCUUGCAGAUGGACCCAGGAUGAUAGGAGACAAGUGGCAAAAAUGAAAUCAAGUAAAAAGAGACCAGUGGCCAAGAAACUUGACUGGUGGUCAGAAGAUCUGCCACUUCCUGGUUCUGUGGCCUUGAACAUGUCACAAAGUCUCCCUGAGUCUCAGUUUCCCCUGCUGUAAGGGGCAGUAAUCAAUCUCCCUCUCCUAGCAUCUGCUGAGGAUUUGAAUGAGCUCAUUCACUUGAAAGCAUGAGUGAUUUUAAAGCCCUGACAAAUGUCAGUUACAUCAGAGGACUUAACCCUCAGGACCCACUUCCACGGGACCCAGAGCAUGUUCAAUUCAAUAGUCUAAUUUAGCUUCUGUGCUAGGGAGAGCACAGUGCUGCAUGCAGUGGGGUGUGUGUGAGCAAAGACAGCGUGGCUUAGCAUGCUGAGGUGUUAGAAAAAGGAUCUUCCAUAAGAGCCCCUGGAAUUGAGGACGCCCCUGGCCUGGUUGCCCUAGGCUUUCCCUGUGUCUAUAUUAGUCUGUGCCCAGCUGCUCCCCUAAUCCUAGGAUGAGGGUACGAUUAGCUGGUUGAGCAUGGGCAAACGGAAGUACAAGGGCUACUCACACUUCAGGAACUAGGCUGCAUUUUCCCUUAGGCUCCUUUAGAAAUCGGAAAAUAUCUGAGCUAGAAGGGGUCUAGAAGUCAACUAGCGUAACUUUCUCCAGUUAGAAAUGAUAAAACCAAGACUGGAAAAUCACUUGUCAAGCAUCAAAUAGCAAGUUCAAAUUACCACCCAGGGCUCCUCCCACCCUUGAGGGCAUGGUGCCUCCAUUCUUUCUGAAACUUCUCUCAGUGGGGUGCCCACUCUGCCUGUGCACGGUGCUGGAGCCCCCUGUGAAGGAAAUCCUGGACCUGGAGAAAGUGUGGGCCCACAUUUUCCUUUCUUAAGGAUUCUUAAAGAUUCAGCAGGAUCUUUCUCUAUAGAAAGAGAGGGGAAAGGAGGAAGACACUUGAUUUUAUUCUUAGAAGUGGCACAAUCGACAAGAUAGAGGGACCCUAUACAUGGCUCCCCUCUGGAGUCUCUAGACACUUUACUCAGCCUCACUUGAGCUGAGCUCAUUGGAACAGCUCCUCUGUCCAGAAGUCCCUGGCCUGUGUUAUCUGUGCUGUGAUUUCUUCCCUAGGAGGGGAGCAGACAGUCUCUGGGGAGACUCAGAAGAGACUUAAUAAGGUGAAAACUGUUUCUCACUCAACCUUGGAAAAGGAUAGAUCUGCCUUAAAAUCUUCUACUCCAGAGAGAAACUCUAAGAAAGUGCCAGAGACAUAAACAUAAGGAGAGACCUACUCAGAAGCAGAGCAGAGAGAUGAGGAUGGUCAAAGGAAUCAAAGUGAAGGACAAGGUUGGGGGGAUGGCAAAGACCACAGAGCACAGUGGCCAGGUCCUCGAGAGGAUGAUGUCUUACCUAAGCUGACAGUAACCAACCUGGAAGGACCACAUUCUGAAGGCAGGAGCCAGAGAUUCCUGGGCCAUUUCUAUCCACAGGGGGCCAGUCCAUCUGCUCCAGCCUUACCUCAUGGGGUCGACUGGCGUACUCUGGUCUCCUGUGCAGAUCUACACAGGGGCAACUGGCACUGGGAUGCUCCCUAUUUGAAGCCUUAGCUCUUGUCUGCUGGAACCGUUGGGAUGAAGUUCAUCCACCUCUUUUUAAUUCCAGGGGGUUGAGCUGCAAAUGCAAAUAUCCGAUUUCUUGUGGCCUCUCAAGGAAACAAAAGCCUGAUCUUUGAUUAAAAAGCUGCCAUGCUCAAUUGCUUAUUGCUUUCUUUGCAUGUCACUUGCAUGUGAGACAAGGGAUAGACCUUCCUUCAUCCAAGUCCCUCACCCAAUAUCAUUCUUCUCAUCUGCUUAACAUUUCAGCUAUCUCCCUGUGAUUGACUGGAUUUGAAGGAAAAUUACCCAAUUAUUUCCAAUGCUCUAGAGUGACAACCUAAUCCAUCCUUUCCUGCCAAGAACACUUGUCCUGGAAGCUUCCGGGAGAGGGCUGCCCUGCAUGCCUGCCUGUGCAUCUUUUUGUCUUUCUUGGCUUCUCACCAUCCAUUUGCUCAUCUUCUAACUUCCUGUCUUAGUUUUUCCUAUUUUUCUCUCCUGUGUUGGACGUUCCCUUCACUGCCCCUCCCUUCCCACAUCCUCUUUCCUCCCGUUACCCACGGCUCCCAGGGCUUCCUUUUCCCCAGGCCUCAUGCUCUCCUCACUGCAGGCAGCAAGGUUUCUCUACCCGUGUCUGAUGGUGCAUGAGAUGUGGAGGCAGAGAGGCCGAGGGAUGGGAAGAAGGGGGAGCAGGGCUCCCAGCUGGUCUACUUUUCUCAAAGGUAGCAACACUAGUUGGGGAGUCCAGGCUGCUGCUUGCAGGGGCCGAAAGUUUUCUUUCACCAGAGGUUACCCUGGUCUGCAAGAGUCUUGUGUGUGUGGUGGGGGGAGGGGGUUACUGAGGAUCAAACCCAGGGUCUCAAGCAUUCAUGCCCGCUAGGCAAGUGCUCCACCCUGAACUAUACUCCUAGCCCUGUUAGAUCCUUGGUGCCUGGUGUUUGGAGGGAGCCCCUUCAUGGAAUAGUUAGGGGUUUGUGUUAUGGUUUGGAUGUGAGGUGUGCCCUGCAAAGCUCAGGUGUGAGAAAAUGCAAGGUUUAGAGAAGAAAUGAUUGGGUUAUUAGAGCCUUAACUCAAUCAGUGACUCCAUCCUCUGAUAGGAUUAACUGAGUGGUGACUGAAGAUGGGUAGGGUGUAGCUGGAGAAGGUGGGCAUUGGGGGCGUGCCUUUGGGGUAUGUGUUUUAUAUCUGGUGGGUGGAGUCCCUCUCUGCUUCUUGAUCAUCAAGUGAGCUAGUUUCCUACCUCCCUCACUCUUCCACCAUGAGGUUCUGCCUCACUGCAGGCCCCAGGUAUGGAACCAACCUUCUAUGGACUGAGACCUCUGAAACUGAGCCCUCAGAUAAACUUUUCCUCUCCUACAAUUGUUCCUGUCAGGUCUUUUAGUCACAGCAGUGAAAAAAGCUGACUAAGACAGUUUGGCUCUGGGAGGGCUGG
Marmota monax (woodchuck) is the source of this 3885-nucleotide long non-coding RNA. RefSeq lists it as uncharacterized. NCBI's taxonomy places the organism in Eukaryota, Metazoa, Chordata, Mammalia, Rodentia, Sciuridae. The transcript has 3 exons. The record is from RefSeq and is a predicted model, not a curated record.